Molecule: ribosomal RNA, 868 nt
Filed under: Staphylococcus aureus
Lineage: Bacteria; Bacillati; Bacillota; Bacilli; Caryophanales; Staphylococcaceae
Description: partial 23S ribosomal RNA
Rfam family: Bacterial large subunit ribosomal RNA
Source: RNAcentral
CGUUUAGUAUUUGGUCGUAGACCCGAAACCAGGUGAUCUACCCUUGGUCAGGUUGAAGUUCAGGUAACACUGAAUGGAGGACCGAACCGACUUACGUUGAAAAGUGAGCGGAUGAACUGAGGGUAGCGGAGAAAUUCCAAUCGAACCUGGAGAUAGCUGGUUCUCUCCGAAAUAGCUUUAGGGCUAGCCUCAAGUGAUGAUUAUUGGAGGUAGAGCACUGUUUGGACGAGGGGCCCCUCUCGGGUUACCGAAUUCAGACAAACUCCGAAUGCCAAUUAAUUUAACUUGGGAGUCAGAACAUGGGUGAUAAGGUCCGUGUUCGAAAGGGAAACAGCCCAGACCACCAGCUAAGGUCCCAAAAUAUAUGUUAAGUGGAAAAGGAUGUGGCGUUGCCCAGACAACUAGGAUGUUGGCUUAGAAGCAGCCAUCAUUUAAAGAGUGCGUAAUAGCUCACUAGUCGAGUGACACUGCGCCGAAAAUGUACCGGGGCUAAACAUAUUACCGAAGCUGUGGAUUGUCCUUUGGACAAUGGUAGGAGAGCGUUCUAAGGGCGUUGAAGCAUGAUCGUAAGGACAUGUGGAGCGCUUAGAAGUGAGAAUGCCGGUGUGAGUAGCGAAAGACGGGUGAGAAUCCCGUCCACCGAUUGACUAAGGUUUCCAGAGGAAGGCUCGUCCGCUCUGGGUUAGUCGGGUCCUAAGCUGAGGCCGACAGGCGUAGGCGAUGGAUAACAGGUUGAUAUUCCUGUACCACCUAUAAUCGUUUUAAUCGAUGGGGGGACGCAGUAGGAUAGGCGAAGCGUGCGAUUGGAUUGCACGUCUAAGCAGUAAGGCUGAGUAUUAGGCAAAUCCGGUACUCGUUAAGGCUGAGC